GCCAGGUAUGGUGGCGCACGCCUGUAAUCCCAGUAGCUCAGGAGGCUGAGGCAGGAGGAUAGCGAGUUCAAAGCCAGUCUCAGCAAGAGCACUGAGUUGCUUGAGACCCUGUCUCAU
RNAcentral lists this small RNA (117 nucleotides) under Marmota monax (woodchuck). Lineage: Eukaryota; Metazoa; Chordata; Mammalia; Rodentia; Sciuridae. The record is from RNAcentral.